AUGAAAAAAAAUCAUACUAUUGGAUUCAUAUUUGAAUUCCCUUUUGGUAAGACGAGGGAUAUUGGCCAAGUCAAAUGCAUCAAGGACGGAGCAGGUCAACUCUUGGUGAAGGACGAGGAGAUUAAGCACAGAUGGCGGGAGUACUUCGACAAGCUGUUCAAUGGGGAGAAUGAGAGUUCUAUCAUUGAACUGGACGACUCCUUUGAUGAGACCGGCAUGCGUUUUGUGCGGCGAAUCCAGGAGUCUGAGGUCAAGGAGGCUUUAAAAAGGAUGAAAGGCGGCAAGGCGAUGGGCCCUGAUUGUAUCCCCAUUGAGGUGUGGAAAGGUCUUGGGGAUAUAGCGAUAGUAUGGCUAACCAAGCUUUUCAACCUCAUUUUUCGGACAAACAAGAUGUCAGAAAAAUGGAGACGGAGUAUAUUAGUACCAAUCUUCAAGAACAAGGGGGAUGUUCAGAGUUGUACUAAUUAUCGUGGAAUUAAGCUGAUGAGCCAUACAAUGAAGCUAUGGGAGAGGGUCAUUGAGCACCGCUUAAGAAGAAUGACAAGCAUGACCAAAAAUCAGUUUGGUUUCAUGCCUGGGAGGUUGACCAUGGAAGCCAUUUUUUUGGUACGACAACUUAUGGAGAGAUAUAGGGAGCAAAAGAAGGACUUGCAUAUGGUGUUCAUUGACUUGGAGAAGGCCUAUGAUAAGACACCGCGGAAUGUCAUGUGGUGGGCCUUGGAGAAACACAAAGUCCCAGCAAAGUACAUUACCCUCAUCAAGGACAUGUACGAUAAUGUUGUGACAAGUGUUCGAACAAGUGAUGUCGACAUUGAUGACUUCCCGAUUAAGAUAGGACUGCAUCAGGGUCAGCUUUGA
RNAcentral lists this ribosomal RNA (858 nucleotides) under Triticum aestivum (bread wheat). Its description in RNAcentral is "partial small subunit ribosomal RNA". Lineage: Eukaryota; Viridiplantae; Streptophyta; Magnoliopsida; Poales; Poaceae. The record is from RNAcentral.